GUCCAACUGACGAGUCCUAAAUAGGACGAAACACGCGUCCUGAAU
Molecule: non-coding RNA, 45 nt
Filed under: Schistosoma bovis
Lineage: Eukaryota; Metazoa; Platyhelminthes; Trematoda; Strigeidida; Schistosomatidae
Also listed under: 1 other name
Source: RNAcentral